CCUACGGGAGGCUGCAGUGAGGAAUAUUGGUCAAUGGCCGGAAGUCUGAACCAGCCAAGCCGCGUGAAGGACGACGGUGCCAAGCAUUGUAAACUUCUUUUGUCAAGGGACAAAAUCAGGCUCGAGAGCCUGACCGAGGGUACUUUAAGAAAAAGCAUCGGCUAACUCCGUGCCAGCAGCCGCGGUAAUACGGAGGAUGCGAGCGUUAUCCGGAUUUAUUGGGUUUAAAGGGUGCGUAGGCGGACUGUUAAGUCAGCGGUAAAAGCCCGGGGCUCAACCCCGUAGAGCCGUUGAAACUGGCUGUCUUGAGAUGUCGAGAGGUAUGCGGAAUGCGCAGUGUAGCGGUGAAAUGCUUAGAUAUUGCGCAGAACUCCGAUUGCGAAGGCAGCAUACCGGCGGCGAUCUGACGCUGAGGCACGAAAGCGUGGGUAUCGAACAGGAUUAGAUACCCCAGUAGUC
RNAcentral lists this ribosomal RNA (459 nucleotides) under uncultured bacterium. RNAcentral describes it as "partial 16S ribosomal RNA". It matches the Rfam family "Bacterial small subunit ribosomal RNA", at positions 338 to 795 of the family's 1533-position model. The record is from RNAcentral.